This is a long non-coding RNA of Pseudopipra pipra, 405 nucleotides long. RefSeq lists it as uncharacterized. The transcript has 2 exons. Lineage: Eukaryota; Metazoa; Chordata; Aves; Passeriformes; Pipridae. The record is from RefSeq and is a predicted model, not a curated record.
AUUCAGUAAGGAAUGCCACCUGUUUGGUUUCUUCCAAGGACUCAGACAGUGGACCUGGAUCAUAAGUAUCAGCCCCAGGAAAGCAAACUGGUCUAUAAGGAGUCUGCGACACGAGGCAGGAGCUGAGACACAGGGGCCAGUACAUGGAGAGAGCCUGUGCAGAGAUAAUCUCAAUGCUACAGUAAAUAUUGACAAAGGAAUUAACCAUGGAUAUUGACAGAAAGGGUCAGAAUGUAGAUUAGUGGGAGAACUGUCCCAUUAUUUCAUGUCUUUCCUUGACUUACCUUUUGUUGGUGAACGUGCUCUCCACCAUACCAAGAACAAUCUGAUCAAGACCCAAAGAUAUUAAGAGAACAUUACACUAAAAAAGCUUGCAUCAAGGCAAUAAAAACAAUGCUAGCGAGA